Molecule: ribosomal RNA, 641 nt
Filed under: uncultured Alphaproteobacteria bacterium
Lineage: Bacteria; Pseudomonadati; Pseudomonadota; Alphaproteobacteria
Description: bacterial SSU rRNA
Rfam family: Bacterial small subunit ribosomal RNA
Source: RNAcentral
AGCGAACACGUUGGCGGCAGGCCUAACACAUGCAAGUCGAGCGCUCAUCUUCGGAUGGGAGCGGCGCAGACGGGUGAGUAACACGUGGGAACCUACCUUGAAGUAUGGAAUAACUGAGGGAAACUUCAGUACUAAUACCGUAUACGCCCUACGGGGGAAAGAUUUAUCGCUUCAAGACGGGCCCGCGUUGGAGAUUAGCUAGUUGGUGAGGUAAUGGCUCACCAAGGCGACGAUCCAUAGCUGAUUUGAGAGAAAAUGAUCAGCCACACUGGGACUGAGACACGGCCCAGACUCCUACGGGAGGCAGCAGUGGGGAUAAUAUUGGACAAUGGGCGCAAGCCUGAUCCAGCCAUGCCGCGUGAGUGAUGAAGGCCUUCAUGGGUUGUAAAGCUCUUUCAGAUGGGACGAUGAUGACGGUACCAUCAGAAGAAGCCCCGGCCUUAACUUCGUGCCAGCAGCCGCGGUAAUACGAAGGGGGCUAGCGUUGUUCGGAAUUACUGGAUGCGUAAAGCGCGCGUAGGCGGCUUUGUCAGUCAGGGGUGAAAUCCCGGGGCUUAACCUCGCCGAACUGCCUUUGAUACUGCAAGGCUUGAGUCUGUGAGAGGAUGGUGGAAUACCCAGUGUAAAGAGGUGAAAUUCGU